This 253-nucleotide ribosomal RNA is filed under the name uncultured bacterium. RNAcentral's name for it is "partial 16S ribosomal RNA". It matches the Rfam family "Bacterial small subunit ribosomal RNA", at positions 524 to 776 of the family's 1533-position model. The record is from RNAcentral.
UACGGAGGGUGCAAGCGUUAUCCGGAAUUACUGGGUUUAAAGGGUGCGUAGGCGGCUUAGUAAGUCAGGGGUGAAAGGUCACGGCUCAACCGUGGAAUGGCCUUUGAUACUGCUGAGCUUGAAUCAGGAUGAGGUUGGCAGAAUGUGGCAUGUAGCGGUGAAAUGCAUAGAUAUGCCAUAGAACACCGAUUGCGAAGGCAGCUGGCUAGACCUUGAUUGACGCUGAGGCACGAAAGCGUGGGGAGCGAACAGG